GGUUUCCCGACCCUACCUAGCUUUUGGACGUCGAAAUCCCGACCCUAAACUUUUUUAUUGGAUUUAUGCUUGUAAGUGUUUCCACUUAGAGGAAAAAGUUUGUGGAAAAUUGAAAUUUGAGGCAAUAUUAGGGAAAUUUAUUUUUGGAUGUGGAAGCACUGACUAAACAAAAUGGCGUCCGCUUGUUCGGAAAAUUAAAAAAAAAGUUUAAAAAAAAAAGUUAAAACCGACCUACCCUACC
This 241-nucleotide long non-coding RNA is filed under the name Paramuricea clavata. The record is from RNAcentral. Lineage: Eukaryota; Metazoa; Cnidaria; Anthozoa; Malacalcyonacea; Plexauridae.